AUUCAGAGCAAGGCUUCUCAUCCCAACACUUCCCAGUAUUAAGAUGCAGCUGGGCACUGGACUCUGGAGAUGAAGAGAAAGAAGGAAGAGAGAAACUGCAACUCCAAAGAUAUCUCAGCAUCACUUGACUGUGAAGUGGAGCAGAAGGAAGCAUCCAUGGAAGAGAUCUGGAGAGUGGGUCCUGGAUGAGGACAUGACCUUCAGGAUGCCCUUUCCAUCACUCACCAAAGCAGCUGAGGAGCUCCUGUUACAGAACAGCUAUGUGAAUAAAUCGCCUAUAAAUAAUAUGAGAAGAUUCCUAAGGAGGGAAAUACAGCUAAUGAUGACCAGAGGAAUGAGGGUAACCACCAACAACUGUAAGGCCAUGGAUGCUCCAUGAAUCUGAGCUAAGGGAGGAAGGGACAACCAUUCACUGGGCAAGCACAGCGACAUUUGGAUGCAUAGUUCAACUUUUUCUGAGGACAUCAUACGUCUGAUGACAGUCGUCCUUUCACAGAGCUCUCUACUUACAGAUCUUGGAUGUGAUACGUGGAUUUCACUGUUGUCUGCAUUGCUUACCUUACUCAGAUGAUUAUAUAUUACUCUGUUUCGCUUUUUACGGUUGUAACAAAAUAUAGCGCACUAUCUCAGGGAGAACAGCCACCUUGAACCUUUCUAAGUGCUCUUUCAGUUGUAUUCUGUCUCUGGAUAUAAAUAUAAAAUAACAUACAUUUGUAUAUCUUC
Long non-coding RNA from Corvus hawaiiensis (hawaiian crow), 723 nucleotides. RefSeq lists it as uncharacterized. The transcript has 4 exons. NCBI's taxonomy places the organism in Eukaryota, Metazoa, Chordata, Aves, Passeriformes, Corvidae. The record is from RefSeq and is a predicted model, not a curated record.